GAUGAACGCUAGCGAUAGGCUUAACACAUGCAAGUCGAGGGGCAGCAUGGUCUUAGCUUGCUAAGACUGAUGGCGACCGGCGCACGGGUGCGUAACGCGUAUGCAACUUGCCUCACAGAGGGGGAUAACCCGUCGAAAGACGGACUAAUACCGCGUACACUUGGGAUAGGGCAUCCUAUCCCAAGGAAAUGAAAUUCGCUGUGAGAUAGGCAUGCGUCCCAUUAGCUAGUUGGUGAGGUAACGGCUCACCAAGGCGACGAUGGGUAGGGGAACUGAGAGGUUGAACCCCCACACUGGUACUGAGACACGGACCAGACUCCUACGGGAGGCAGCAGUGAGGAAUAUUGGUCAAUGGGCGAGAGCCUGAACCAGCCAAGUCGCGUGAAGGAUGACUGUCUUAUGGAUUGUAAACUUCUUUUAUACGGGAAUAACAAGAGUCAC
RNAcentral lists this ribosomal RNA (441 nucleotides) under Porphyromonas sp. oral taxon 279. RNAcentral describes it as "bacterial SSU rRNA". It matches the Rfam family "Bacterial small subunit ribosomal RNA", at positions 28 to 459 of the family's 1533-position model. Lineage: Bacteria; Pseudomonadati; Bacteroidota; Bacteroidia; Bacteroidales; Porphyromonadaceae. The record is from RNAcentral.